This 777-nucleotide ribosomal RNA is filed under the name uncultured Neocallimastigales. RNAcentral's name for it is "partial large subunit ribosomal RNA". It matches the Rfam family "Eukaryotic large subunit ribosomal RNA", at positions 22 to 643 of the family's 3401-position model. The record is from RNAcentral. Lineage: Eukaryota; Fungi; Neocallimastigomycota; Neocallimastigomycetes; Neocallimastigales.
CUAUACAUGACUCUGAGCAUAUCAAUAAGCGGAGGAAAAGAAACUAACUAGGAUUCCCUUAGUAACGGCGAGUGAAGCGGGAAGAGCUCAAAUUUGAAAUCUUCAAGGGUUCUACCUUUACGAAUUGUAGUUUAUAGAAGUGUUUUCUGUUAGUGGAGUGGCAAAAGUUCUUUGGAAUAGGACAUCAUAGAGGGUGAGAAUCCCGUAUUUGGUCAUUCCUCCUAGCGUUGUGAUACACUUUCAACGAGUCGGAUUGUUUGGGAAUGCAGUCCAAAAUGGGUGGUAAAUUUCAUCUAAAGCCUAAAUAUUGGCGAGAGACCGAUAGCGAACAAGUACCGUGAGGGAAAGAUGAAAAGAACUUUGAAAAGAGAGUUAAACAGUACAUGAAAUUGUCAAAAGGGAAGCGUUUGACACCAGUGUUGUUUUUCCGAAAAUCAAUUACGAAUGGUUUGAUUUUUGAGGAGUUAUGACUUCAUCGGCUUGCUCCUUUCUUUAUGAAACUUUCUUAAUGCACUUUUCGGUUAACAAGUCAACAUCAAUUUCUUUUGUUGUAAAAGAGUAUGAGGAAGGUGGCUUUCUUUUCGGAGAAAGUGUUUAUAGCCUUGUACUUCUGCAAUCGGAGAGAUUGAGGUCUGCAGCGUAGAUCCUUCGGGGUUAGAUACAUUUGUGCUAAGUUAUAGCUUUUCAUAGACAACUUGUUGAUUAUGUUAAGUCUUGUAGCUUACUCGCUUAUGCUAUUUUACCUACGCUUAGGAUGUUGAUAUGCAUGACUGAUAU